RNAcentral lists this ribosomal RNA (427 nucleotides) under uncultured bacterium. RNAcentral's name for it is "partial 16S ribosomal RNA". It matches the Rfam family "Bacterial small subunit ribosomal RNA", at positions 355 to 774 of the family's 1533-position model. The record is from RNAcentral.
UGGGGAAUAUUGCACAAUGGGCGCAAGCCUGAUGCAGCCAUGCCGCGUGUAUGAAGAAGGCCUUCGGGUUGUAAAGUACUUUCAGCGGGGAGGAAGGUGUUGAGGCUAAUAACCUCAGCAAUUGACGUUACCCGCAGAAGAAGCACCGGCUAACUCCGUGCCAGCAGCCGCGGUAAUACGGAGGGUGCAAGCGUUAAUCGGAAUUACUGGGCGUAAAGCGCACGCAGGCGGUCUGUCAAGUCCGAUGUGAAAUCCCCGGGCUCAACCUGGGAACUGCAUUCGAAACUGGCAGGCUAGAGUCUUGUAGAGGGGGGUAGAAUUCCAGGUGUAGCGGUGAAAUGCGUAGAGAUCUGGAGGAAUACCGGUGGCGAAGGCGGCCCCCUGGACAAAGACUGACGCUCAGGUGCGAAAGCGUGGGGAGCAAACA